CCUACGGGAGGCAGCAGUUAGGAAUCUUCCGCAAUGGGCGAAAGCCUGACGGAGCGACACUGCUUGGAGGAUGAAGGUUUUCGGAUCGUAAACUCCUGAACGAGGGACGAAUAAUGACGGUACCUCGCUAAUAGCACCGGCUAACUCCGUGCCAGCAGCCGCGGUAAU
This 168-nucleotide ribosomal RNA is filed under the name uncultured bacterium. Its description in RNAcentral is "partial 16S ribosomal RNA". It matches the Rfam family "Bacterial small subunit ribosomal RNA", at positions 338 to 524 of the family's 1533-position model. The record is from RNAcentral. RNAcentral also lists the same sequence under 1 other name.